Molecule: unclassified non-coding RNA, 166 nt
Filed under: soil metagenome
Description: partial contains small subunit ribosomal RNA, internal transcribed spacer 1, and 5.8S ribosomal RNA
Source: RNAcentral
UUUCCGUAGGUGAACCUGCGGAAGGAUCAUUAAUAAUUUGCCGAACCUAGCGUUAGCGAGGUUCUGCGAUCACUUAUAUUUAAAACCCAACUCUUAAAUGUAUAAUGUAUUUUUUUAAUGAUAAAAAAUUAAAAGAUCACUUUCAACAACGGAUCUCUUGGCUCUC